AAUCUUUUUAAUUGACUAGAUUACAAGUUUGGGAUCCAUUUAAGCCUUGAAGUCUUCUUACAGUUUACACCCAGAGGUGAUGAUAAGACAAAUAUUCCCAAAUGCAUUGAUGACUUCCAAAAUGGACCAAAAGCAUAAAAGGCCUACAGUCACUGGCUCAAGUUUUGUGAUGUGCUGUUUAUAACUGGACAGGCCUGGAAGUGGCUUAGUACCUUCCACUCCUAUUUUAAGUCAGAAGCAACAGUAAGCUGAGCGGCCUCGAAGACCGAGUUGCUUCUCCAAAAGGAUGCUCAACUUGCAGCUGAGGUUAUUAACAAGGUAACAGAGGAGAUUUAUAAUAUAUAGGUUAAGGUAUGUAGGAAACCU
This 366-nucleotide long non-coding RNA is filed under the name Apteryx rowi (Okarito brown kiwi). RNAcentral's name for it is "lncRNA (ENSARWG00000010347.1)". The record is from RNAcentral. Lineage: Eukaryota; Metazoa; Chordata; Aves; Apterygiformes; Apterygidae.